Molecule: non-coding RNA, 911 nt
Organism: Camelina sativa (false flax)
Lineage: Eukaryota; Viridiplantae; Streptophyta; Magnoliopsida; Brassicales; Brassicaceae
Source: RefSeq, a predicted model, not a curated record
UCCCCACUAAAGAGUCUCCUCUUCUUAAAACAGAGAGCCAAUGAAGCAUACCUAACCCCUUUUUAAAAAAAAAAGAUAUGGUGGUGAUCCGGAGCAGUUGGUCUUGGGUUUCUGGUUUUAUUACCAUCUUUUUCUCCCUCCUUUUCCACAGUCUUGCUUCUCCUACGCUUCACUUUUGCCGCCAAGAUCAGAAGGAUGCUCUUUUGGAGUUCAGAGACGAGUUUCCUAUUGAUGAGUCUAAAACAAGUCCGUGGAAUAAGAGCAGUGAUUGCUGUUCUUGGAAGGGUGUCACGUGCAGCGUUAAAUCUGGCCAGAUUAGAUGGCCCAAUCCCGAGAUCCUUGUCAAAAUUUCCCAACCUUAGACGGUUAUAUCUGAACCACAACAGUUUCAGUGGGUCAUUACCUAGAUCUCUAUCAAAGUUAGUCAACCUCCAUGAGAUUGAUGUAUCCAACAACAAGUUGGCAGAAAUGUUCUUCAUUCUUGCACAACCCAAGACUCUACGGUCUCGAAGAAAUUUGUAGAGAAACUCAUGCCUUGAAUCCUACGUCGCAGCUCCCCGAGGAAUUGGCAGAGGCUGAGGAACAAAUGUUCAACUGGGUAGCAGCUGCAAUAGCAUACGGACCUGGUUUGUACUGUGGAUUGGUGUUUGGAUAUAUCUACACUUCACAUAAUCCUUACAAGUGUCCGUUAAACCCAUCUCUUUAAGCAUUUGUGAAGCAAAUGUUGUGUAACGUCUUGUUCAUGUUUGUACUGAAAUUUUCAUGUGUAUGUUCUCCAUAAGACUUGUUUGUGUUUGUUUGUAUGUAAAUCCUAUGUAUGUAAUAAAACGUCUGGUGGUAGUCGAUAUAUCUUGGCUUGAAAAUGUAUACGUUUUGUUCUGCAAUUCUUACAAAAUAUAAAUUUAGUGGAC